GCUGCAGCAAAGUCAGAUUGUGCAGAAGAAUCAUCUGUUUCCUGUGGUCUUGUCCUGGUGCUCCUCUGAGACAAGGUCUUUACAGGGGAUCUGUAUCUGGGGCUCUAGUUGUCCUGGUCUCCGCUGUCUUUCAGGGCAGUAGAGGUCCUUUCUAGGUGCUGAUCCACCAUCUGGUCUGGAUACGUACUGGAUCCGGGUGACUGCAGUGAUCCUCUGAUCUGGACACAGACUGGAUCUGGUGGCCACGGUGACCUCGGAACAAGAGAGAAACAGACAAAUAU
Long non-coding RNA from Carassius gibelio (silver crucian carp), 281 nucleotides. RefSeq lists it as uncharacterized. The record is from RefSeq and is a predicted model, not a curated record. The transcript has 2 exons. Lineage: Eukaryota; Metazoa; Chordata; Actinopteri; Cypriniformes; Cyprinidae.